This 3001-nucleotide ribosomal RNA is filed under the name Gammaproteobacteria bacterium. RNAcentral describes it as "23S ribosomal RNA". It matches the Rfam family "Bacterial large subunit ribosomal RNA". Lineage: Bacteria; Pseudomonadati; Pseudomonadota; Gammaproteobacteria. The record is from RNAcentral.
GGUCAAGUGAAUAAGCGCACAUGGUGAAUGCCUUGGCGAUAAGAGGCGAUGAAGGGCGUAGUAAUCUGCGAAAAGCUUUGGUGAGUCGAUAACAGACUUUGACCCAGAGAUUCCCGAAUGGGGCAACCCAGCCAGCAUAAGCUGGUUAUCCUGCACUGAAUAGAUAGGUGUCAGGAGGCGAACCCGGAGAACUGAAACAUCUAAGUACCCGGAGGAAAAGAAAUCAACCGAGAUUUCCCUAGUAGCGGCGAGCGAACGGGAAACAGCCUGCAAGUGAUAAUAGUUGUAUUAGUGGAAUAAGCUGGAAAGCUUAGCGAUACAGGGUGAUAGCCCCGUACACGAAAAUGCGAUUAUGGUACUAGGCUUGCGACAAGUAGGGCGGAGCACGAGAAACUUUGUCUGAACAUGGGGGGACCAUCCUCCAAGGCUAAAUACUACUUAUCGACCGAUAGUGAACCAGUACCGUGAGGGAAAGGCGAAAAGAACCCCGUUAAGGGGAGUGAAAUAGAACCUGAAACCGUGUGCGUACAAGCAGUAGGAGCAUACUUGUUAUGUGACUGCGUACCUUUUGUAUAAUGGGUCAGCGACUUAAUUUAUGUAGCGAGAUUAACCGAGUAGGGGAGUCGAAGGGAAACCGAGUCUUAAUAGGGCGAAUAGUUGCAUGGAUUAGACCCGAAACCUGGCGAUCUAUCCAUGGCCAGGGUGAAGGUGGGGUAACACCUACUGGAGGCCCGAACCCACGUAUGUUGAAAAAUGCGGGGAUGAGCUGUGGAUCGGAGUGAAAGGCUAAUCAAGCCAGGAGAUAGCUGGUUCUCCUCGAAAGCUAUUUAGGUAGCGCCUCGCGUCUCACUCUUGGGGGUAGAGCACUGUUACGGCUAGGGGGUCAUCCCGACUUACCAACCCGUUGCAAACUCCGAAUACCAAGAAGUGCAAUCGCGGGAGACACACAGUGGGUGAUAACGUCCAUUGUGAAAAGGGAAACAACCCAGACCAUCAGCUAAGGUCCCAAAAUUAUCACUCAGUGGAAAACGAUGUGGGAAGGCCCAGACAGCUAGGAGGUUGGCUUAGAAGCAGCCAUCCUUUAAAGAAAGCGUAAUAGCUCACUAGUCGAGUCGGCCUGCGCGGAAGAUGUACCGGGGCUUAAGUGAUAUACCGGAGCUAUGGAUGCCGUGCAUCUUUAAGAUUAUUUAAACAAGCUGUCGCCGCUAGGCGACUAAGCGCCACCGAACGUUGAGUCGGUGAGUGGCUAGAUGUGGAAAGUAAUUUUAAAGAUGCACGGCAUGGUAGAGGAGCGUUCUGUAAGCGGUUGAAGCUAUCCUGUAAGGGGUGGUGGACGUAUCAGAAGUGCGAAUGCUGACAUGAGUAACGAUAAAGGGGGUGAGAGGCCCCCUCGCCGAAAAUCCAAGGUUUCCUGCUCAACGCUAAUCGGAGCAGGGUGAGUCGGCCCCUAAGGUGAGGCAGAAAUGCGUAAUCGAUGGGAAACAGGUUAAUAUUCCUGUACCUCUUGUAACUGCGAUGGGAUGACGGAGAAGGUUAGAUCAGCACGGCGAUGGUUGUCCGUGUUUAAGCGUGUAGGCUGAGAGUUUAGGUAAAUCCGGACGCUCAUUAAGGCUGAGGCGUGAUAACGAGUCCUCUUUUGGACGAAGUGAUUGAUACCCUGCUUCCAGGAAAAGUCUCUAAGCUUCAGGUUACAAGGGACCGUACCCCAAACCGACACAGGUGGAUGGGAUGAGAAUUCUAAGGCGCUUGAGAGAACUCUGGUGAAGGAACUAGGCAAAAUAGCACCGUAACUUCGGGAGAAGGUGUGCCUUAAUGGUGAAGCGACUUGCUCGUGGAGCUAAUUAAGGUUGCAGUGAAAUGGUGGCUGCGACUGUUUAUUAAAAACACAGCACUCUGCAAACUCGCAAGAGGACGUAUAGGGUGUGACGCCUGCCCGGUGCCGGAAGGUUAAUUGAUGGGGUUAGACUUAGGUCGAAGCUCUUGAUCGAAGCCCCGGUAAACGGCGGCCGUAACUAUAACGGUCCUAAGGUAGCGAAAUUCCUUGUCGGGUAAGUUCCGACCUGCACGAAUGGCGUAACGAUGGCCACACUGUCUCCACCAGAGACUCAGUGAAAUUGAAAUUGCGGUUAAGAUGCCGUAUACCCGCGGCUAGACGGAAAGACCCCGUGAACCUUUACUAUAGCUUUGCACUGAACAUUGGACCUACCUGUGUAGGAUAGCUGGGAGGCGUUGAAACAUUGUCGCUAGAUGAUGUGGAGCCGCACUUGAAAUACCAGCCUGGUAGUUUUGAUGUUCUAACCUAGGUCCGUAAGCCGGAUCGGGGACAGUGUAUGGUGGGUAGUUUGACUGGGGCGGUCUCCUCCCAAAGAGUAACGGAGGAGCACGAAGGUAUGCUAAUCAUGGUCGGACAUCAUGAGGUUAGUGCAAUGGCAUAAGCAUGCUUGACUGCGAGACAGACACGUCGAGCAGGUACGAAAGUAGGUCAUAGUGAUCCGGUGGUUCUGAAUGGAAGGGCCAUCGCUCAACGGAUAAAAGGUACUCCGGGGAUAACAGGCUGAUACCGCCCAAGAGUUCACAUCGACGGCGGUGUUUGGCACCUCGAUGUCGGCUCAUCACAUCCUGGGGCUGUAGCCGGUCCCAAGGGUAUGGCUGUUCGCCAUUUAAAGUGGUACGCGAGCUGGGUUUAGAACGUCGUGAGACAGUUCGGUCCCUAUCUGCCGUGGGCGUUGGAAAUUUGAGAGGAGCUGCUCCUAGUACGAGAGGACCGGAGUGGACGUACCCCUGGUGUUUGGGUUGUCAUGCCAAUGGCAUUGCCCAGUAGCUAUGUACGGACGGGAUAAACGCUGAAAGCAUCUAAGCGUGAAGCCCCCCUCAAGAUUAGAUUUCCCCGAGCUAUAAGCUCCUGAAGGGCCGUUGAAGACUACGACGUUGAUAGGUUGGGUGUGGAAGCGCAGUAAUGUGUGAAGCUAACCAAUACUAAUUGCCCGUGAGGCUUGACCAU